GGAUAGUUCAUCGGACCGCAUGGUCCGUUGAUGAAAGGCGCUCCGGCGUCACCUUGAGAUGGCCUUGCGGUGCAUUAGCUAGUUGGUGGGGUAACGGCCCACCAAGGCGACGAUGCAUAGCCGACCUGAGAGGGUGAUCGGCCACACUGGGACUGAGACACGGCCCAGACUCCUACGGGAGGCAGCAGUAGGGAAUCUUCCACAAUGGACGAAAGUCUGAUGGAGCAACGCCGCGUGAGUGAUGAAGGUUUUCGGAUCGUAAAACUCUGUUGUAAGGGAAGAACACGUACGAGAGGAAAUGCUCGUACCUUGACGGUACCUUACGAGAAAGCCACGGCUAACUACGUGCCAGCAGCCGCGGUAAUACGUAGGUGGCAAGCGUUGUCCGGAAUUAUUGGGCGUAAAGCGCGCGCAGGCGGCCUUUUAAGUCUGAUGUGAAAGCCCCCGGCUCAACCGGGGAGGGCCAUUGGAAACUGGAAGGCUUGAGUACAGAAGAGAAGAGUGGAAUUCCACGUGUAGCGGUGAAAUGCGUAGAGAUGUGGAGGAACACCAGUGGGCGAAGGCGACUCUUUGGUCUGUAA
Molecule: ribosomal RNA, 581 nt
Filed under: Exiguobacterium indicum
Lineage: Bacteria; Bacillati; Bacillota; Bacilli; Caryophanales
Description: bacterial SSU rRNA
Rfam family: Bacterial small subunit ribosomal RNA
Source: RNAcentral